AGAUUGAACGCUGGCGGCAUGCCUUACACGUGCAAGUCGAACGGCAGCACGGGAGCAAUCCUGGUGGCGAGUGGCGAACGGGUGAGUAAUAUAUCGGAACGUGCCCAGUAAUGGGGGGAUAGCCCGGCGAAAGCCGGAUUAAUACCGCAUACGACCUACGGGUGAAAGCGGGGGAUCGCAAGACCUCGCGUUAUUGGAGCGGCCGAUAUCAGAUUAGCUUGUUGGUGGGGUAAAAGCCUACCAAGGCGACGAUCUGUAGCUGGUCUGAGAGGACGACCAGCCACACUGGGACUGAGACACGGCCCAGACUCCUACGGGAGGCAGCAGUGGGGAAUUUGGACAAUGGGCGAAAGCCUGAUCCAGCCAUGCCGCGUGUGGGAAGAAGGCCUUCGGGUUGUAAACCACUUUUGUCAGGGAAGAAACGGCCCUUAACUAAUAACUAGGACUAAUGACGUACCUGAAGAAUAAGCACCGCUAACUACGUGCCAGCAGCCGC
Molecule: ribosomal RNA, 496 nt
Filed under: uncultured soil bacterium
Lineage: Bacteria
Description: bacterial SSU rRNA
Rfam family: Bacterial small subunit ribosomal RNA
Source: RNAcentral